RNAcentral lists this ribosomal RNA (346 nucleotides) under uncultured eukaryote. RNAcentral describes it as "SSU rRNA". It matches the Rfam family "Eukaryotic small subunit ribosomal RNA", at positions 594 to 945 of the family's 1831-position model. The record is from RNAcentral.
AUAGCGUAUAUUAAAGUUGUUGCAGUUAAAAAGCUCGUAGUUGAAUUUUAGGCCCGGUUGGACGGUCUGCCUUUGGGUUUGUACUGUCCUGACUGGGCCUUACCUUCUGGUGAGCUGUCGUGUUGUUUACUCAGCGCGGCAGGGAACCAGGACUUUUACUUUGAAAAAAUUAGAGUGUUUAAAGCAGGCAUUCGCUUGAAUACAUUAGCAUGGAAUAAUAGAAUAGGACUUUGGUUCUAUUUUGUUGGUUUCUAGGACCGAAGUAAUGAUUAAUAGGGAUAGUUGGGGGCAUUAGUAUUUAAUUGUCAGAGGUGAAAUUCUUGGAUUUAUGAAAGACUAACUUCUG